Molecule: regulatory RNA element, 131 nt
Organism: Halioglobus sp. HI00S01
Lineage: Bacteria; Pseudomonadati; Pseudomonadota; Gammaproteobacteria; Cellvibrionales; Halieaceae
Source: Rfam
UCUAGGAGGUCUGAAAAGGCUGCAUGCCCUUCUGAAAUCGUCGGGAGGCAUGGAUGCCGGACGCCGAAGCGCGCCAUGGAUGGCCCUGAAGCGGUUUCAGAAGGGCAUGCAGCCUUUUCAGGCCGGUUUCG